Long non-coding RNA from Mizuhopecten yessoensis (Yesso scallop), 833 nucleotides. RefSeq lists it as uncharacterized. Lineage: Eukaryota; Metazoa; Mollusca; Bivalvia; Pectinida; Pectinidae. The transcript has 2 exons. The record is from RefSeq and is a predicted model, not a curated record.
UGCAAGGCAUGUUAAACAACCUGAAAGUAAAUCUUUUGGUGUUUAAAAAUCAUAUUGUCAAUACCAAAGCUGCUUGAGGCAAUCUACAUUUGUAUAUUGGUUUUGUUAAUCGGCAGAGGUAUGGAUAAUCAUAACAUGGUAAUUUGGAUAGACGAUUUUUGGAAACAAGGAUAUAAACAUUUUCCGAUGGGCAUGGGCGAUAAUUACACGUACAGCAGUUUGACGAGGACGAUUGUUUACAUGUAUAAUUAUUGCUGAACAUUGAUUGUUCUCAGGUGAAGGUUAAAUACUUGGGUAGCCUAAACUAAGUUAUACACUAGUGAAGGGAGAGGAGGGCGAUUGUUAUAGGGACUCUUCACAAAUACAAUUACAUGUAAAACUUGGUGAUAAACUAAACAAUUUUGGCCUCUGAAGUAGAUAGUCUAAGCAAUUUUUGUAAUUUGUAUUCAAUAGAUCCGACACAGUAUCAUACCUGUUAAGUAAUAGCAAAAAGGUAGUGUAUGCUUUGCAAAUGUUUUAUUUAUCAUAUAUUAACAUUUUUACGAAAUUGUUAUUUUUCUAUUUAAACUUUGAUUUCAAGUUUGAUGAAGAUUGUUGACAUGCAAAUGUAAAUGUUGCAUAGAAAUAAAGAUAAACUGAAACUUGAACAUUGACAUAAAUUAGUUGUACACAAGGUGGCAACUGAAACGAGCGAUGUAUUUUUUUUCUCCUUUACACUUACAAAAGAAAAAUUCAGAUGAGUAUCUUAAUAGCUCAUCUAUAUCCUUAAUUAUUAUGUACUGUAUAAUCUGAGAGGGAAGUAUCUCUUUUUGAAUAAAAGGUGUCAACUUGUU